Ostrinia nubilalis (European corn borer) is the source of this 1303-nucleotide long non-coding RNA. RefSeq lists it as uncharacterized. Lineage: Eukaryota; Metazoa; Arthropoda; Insecta; Lepidoptera; Crambidae. The record is from RefSeq and is a predicted model, not a curated record. The transcript has 2 exons.
AUAGCUCGCUCUCUUGCGCGCGCAGUUACUGACUGUAGGCCGUGGCAUCGACGCGUGCGCACAAUCGUGUUUACAUUUUUUACGGUGCUUCUGAGUGUUGUAAUUGACCAUGUUUUUAUCCUAUGAAGUUGUCAGCGUAUUCGGAAUCUCGGCGAUGGUGUCAUUCUUCGUGUCAGCGGCGCUGCUGCUGAUGUUUGCAGCCAAAAAAGGACUCCUGCGCAUCGGGAGCCGUCGCAAGGAGUCACCUACCCUACUGCCCCAGCAUUUGGCACCACAGCUCAUGCCAGUGGAACUGAUGCCUUUGAAAACUGACAAGGUUCCGCUGUAGAGGUGUUAACACCAUGUGGGAUAAUCUGAGGCUAGUCUUUUUGGCGACAAAGUGGCACAAUUUGAAAAUGCUAAUUUCUGGUUCUAACGUCUUUCAAAAUGCACAUGACAAAAAUCAUUGCAAAUCUUCAAAAAAUUUGUUCUGUUUAAAAAGAGCACUGCAGGCCAUUGAAGUGGCAUAUGCCUGUGUUUUUUUUUGUGUCUGUUGAGCGACAGACAUUUAAAAGAUCUACAGUAACUGCAUCCGUUUUUAUAUAAACUUUUCAAGUGUAAACUGUGUACUUGAAGAUGGAUAAGGGGCACUUUUUAUCAGAUUUAUCUUCAAACAGACGUCUUUUUAUUAUUUUGCUUAAGUUAUUUCCACGUGGUUAUAUUAUUAUUUAUCUUUCCAAAGGUUUCUAGUUUAUGGUAGAUUUAAUGUAUUACUAUUAUGUGGGUAUGUACUUAAUAAUUUUGCACAAAAUCAUUUUAAAGUCCGACCAAUAGUAUAAGCAAAUUAAAUAUAACUGGACCAUAUUAUAUUAGUAAGUACUUAUCAUGGAAUUUAGGUAUUUGUCAACAUUAGUAAUAGUGUCCAUCAUAAUUUUUCACAAAUUAGUCAUAAGUAGUUAUUAUCUACGUAUUCAAAAAGUCAAAUAGAUAGUUAUCAUCAUAAUAGAUGUAGUAAUUUAACAUUCCUAAAUUAUUAAGAUCAUUUACUUAUAAAUUGGUUCACUAAGGAUUGUUUGACUUUAAAAGUAUUUUUUUGUGUUAUUUACAUUGUAAAUGAUAAACAAAAACUUAUUUUUAAUGUCUGGAAAAUGAAUCCUCAAUUUAUUAUUAAUUAGGUACUUAUAGUAAUUGUGCCAUACAAAUUAAUGUUAUGUCAACUCUUGUUAUGAAUUAUUAUGAAACUGAGUACUUAUUUUUAAAUGUUGUAAUUACUCUCAUUUUCAAUUAGCGUUAUUAUAUGACAUUAUAAACAUUUAUUACUAAA